This 500-nucleotide ribosomal RNA is filed under the name uncultured bacterium. RNAcentral describes it as "partial 16S ribosomal RNA". It matches the Rfam family "Bacterial small subunit ribosomal RNA", at positions 30 to 523 of the family's 1533-position model. The record is from RNAcentral.
AUUGAACGCUGGCGGCAGGCUUGACACAUGCAAGUCGAGCGGGGGAAGGUAGCUUGCUACCGGACCUAGCGGCGGACGGGUGAGUAAUGCUUAGGAAUCUGCCUAUUAGUGGGGACAACAUCUCGAAAGGGAUGCUAAUACCGCAUACGUCCUACGGGAGAAAGCAGGGGAUCUUCGGACCUUGCGCUAAUAGAUGAGCCUAAGUCGGAUUAGCUAGUUGGUGGGGUAAAGGCCUACCAAGGCGACGAUCUGUAGCGGGUCUGAGAGGAUGAUCCGCCACACUGGGACGGAGACACGGCCCAGACUCCUACGGGAGGCAGCAGUGGGGAAUAUUUGACAAUGGGGGGAACCCUGAUCCAGCCAUGCCGCGUGUGUGAAGAAGGCCUUAUGGUUGUAAAGCACUUUAAGCGAGGAGGAGGCUACUCUAGUUAAUACCUAGGGAUAGUGGACGUUACUCGCAGAAUAAGCACCGGCUAACUCUGUGCCAGCCGCCGCGGUAA